Molecule: ribosomal RNA, 2902 nt
Filed under: Klebsiella quasipneumoniae
Lineage: Bacteria; Pseudomonadati; Pseudomonadota; Gammaproteobacteria; Enterobacterales; Enterobacteriaceae
Description: 23S ribosomal RNA
Rfam family: Bacterial large subunit ribosomal RNA
Source: RNAcentral
GGUUAAGCGACUAAGCGUACACGGUGGAUGCCCUGGCAGUCAGAGGCGAUGAAGGACGUGCUAAUCUGCGAAAAGCGUCGGUAAGGUGAUAUGAACCGUUACAGCCGGCGAUGUCCGAAUGGGGAAACCCAGUGCAAUUCGUUGCACUAUCGUUAACUGAAUACAUAGGUUAACGAGGCGAACCGGGGGAACUGAAACAUCUAAGUACCCCGAGGAAAAGAAAUCAACCGAGAUUCCCCCAGUAGCGGCGAGCGAACGGGGAGCAGCCCAGAGUCUGAAUCAGCUUGUGUGUUAGUGGAACGGUCUGGAAAGUCCGACGGUACAGGGUGAUAGUCCCGUACACCAAAAUGCACAGGCUGUGAACUCGAAGAGUAGGGCGGGACACGUGGUAUCCUGUCUGAAUAUGGGGGGACCAUCCUCCAAGGCUAAAUACUCCUGACUGACCGAUAGUGAACCAGUACCGUGAGGGAAAGGCGAAAAGAACCCCGGCGAGGGGAGUGAAAAAGAACCUGAAACCGUGUACGUACAAGCAGUGGGAGCACCUUCGGGUGUGACUGCGUACCUUUUGUAUAAUGGGUCAGCGACUUAUAUUCUGUAGCAAGGUUAACCGUAUAGGGGAGCCGCAGGGAAACCGAGUCUUAACUGGGCGUUAAGUUGCAGGGUAUAGACCCGAAACCCGGUGAUCUAGCCAUGGGCAGGUUGAAGGUUGGGUAACACUAACUGGAGGACCGAACCGACUAAUGUUGAAAAAUUAGCGGAUGACUUGUGGCUGGGGGUGAAAGGCCAAUCAAACCGGGAGAUAGCUGGUUCUCCCCGAAAGCUAUUUAGGUAGCGCCUCGUGAACUCAUCUUCGGGGGUAGAGCACUGUUUCGGCUAGGGGGUCAUCCCGACUUACCAACCCGAUGCAAACUACGAAUACCGAAGAAUGUUAUCACGGGAGACACACGGCGGGUGCUAACGUCCGUCGUGAAGAGGGAAACAACCCAGACCGCCAGCUAAGGUCCCAAAGUCAUGGUUAAGUGGGAAACGAUGUGGGAAGGCACAGACAGCCAGGAUGUUGGCUUAGAAGCAGCCAUCAUUUAAAGAAAGCGUAAUAGCUCACUGGUCGAGUCGGCCUGCGCGGAAGAUGUAACGGGGCUAAACCAUGCACCGAAGCUGCGGCAGCGACACUAUGUGUUGUUGGGUAGGGGAGCGUUCUGUAAGCCUGCGAAGGUGACCUGUGAGGGUUGCUGGAGGUAUCAGAAGUGCGAAUGCUGACAUAAGUAACGAUAAAGCGGGUGAAAAGCCCGCUCGCCGGAAGACCAAGGGUUCCUGUCCAACGUUAAUCGGGGCAGGGUGAGUCGACCCCUAAGGCGAGGCCGAAAGGCGUAGUCGAUGGGAAACAGGUUAAUAUUCCUGUACUUGGUGUUACUGCGAAGGGGGGACGGAGAAGGCUAUGUUAGCCGGGCGACGGUUGUCCCGGUUUAAGCAUGUAGGCUGGUUAUCCAGGCAAAUCCGGAUAAUCAAGGCUGAGGUGUGAUGACGAGGCACUACGGUGCUGAAGUAACAAAUGCCCUGCUUCCAGGAAAAGCCUCUAAGCAUCAGGUAACAUCAAAUCGUACCCCAAACCGACACAGGUGGUCAGGUAGAGAAUACCAAGGCGCUUGAGAGAACUCGGGUGAAGGAACUAGGCAAAAUGGUGCCGUAACUUCGGGAGAAGGCACGCUGGUGUGUAGGUGAAGUCCCUGCGGAUGGAGCUGAGACCAGUCGAAGAUACCAGCUGGCUGCAACUGUUUAUUAAAAACACAGCACUGUGCAAACACGAAAGUGGACGUAUACGGUGUGACGCCUGCCCGGUGCCGGAAGGUUAAUUGAUGGGGUUAUCCGUAAGGAGAAGCUCUUGAUCGAAGCCCCGGUAAACGGCGGCCGUAACUAUAACGGUCCUAAGGUAGCGAAAUUCCUUGUCGGGUAAGUUCCGACCUGCACGAAUGGCGUAAUGAUGGCCAGGCUGUCUCCACCCGAGACUCAGUGAAAUUGAACUCGCUGUGAAGAUGCAGUGUACCCGCGGCAAGACGGAAAGACCCCGUGAACCUUUACUAUAGCUUGACACUGAACAUUGAGCCUUGAUGUGUAGGAUAGGUGGGAGGCUUUGAAGCGUGGACGCCAGUCUGCGUGGAGCCAACCUUGAAAUACCACCCUUUAAUGUUUGAUGUUCUAACGUGGGCCCCUGACCGGGGUUGCGGACAGUGUCUGGUGGGUAGUUUGACUGGGGCGGUCUCCUCCCAAAGCGUAACGGAGGAGCACGAAGGUUAGCUAAUCCUGGUCGGACAUCAGGAGGUUAGUGCAAUGGCAUAAGCUAGCUUGACUGCGAGCGUGACGGCGCGAGCAGGUGCGAAAGCAGGUCAUAGUGAUCCGGUGGUUCUGAAUGGAAGGGCCAUCGCUCAACGGAUAAAAGGUACUCCGGGGAUAACAGGCUGAUACCGCCCAAGAGUUCAUAUCGACGGCGGUGUUUGGCACCUCGAUGUCGGCUCAUCACAUCCUGGGGCUGAAGUAGGUCCCAAGGGUAUGGCUGUUCGCCAUUUAAAGUGGUACGCGAGCUGGGUUUAGAACGUCGUGAGACAGUUCGGUCCCUAUCUGCCGUGGGCGCUGGAGAAUUGAGGGGGGCUGCUCCUAGUACGAGAGGACCGGAGUGGACGCAUCACUGGUGUUCGGGUUGUCAUGCCAAUGGCACUGCCCGGUAGCUAAAUGCGGAAGAGAUAAGUGCUGAAAGCAUCUAAGCACGAAACUUGCCCCGAGAUGAGUUCUCCCUGAGACUUUAAGUCUCCUGAAGGAACGUUGAAGACGACGACGUUGAUAGGCCGGGUGUGUAAGCGCAGCGAUGCGUUGAGCUAACCGGUACUAAUGAACCGUGAGGCUUAACCUU